This 1858-nucleotide ribosomal RNA is filed under the name Phyllocoptruta platycladuse. RNAcentral describes it as "18S ribosomal RNA". It matches the Rfam family "Eukaryotic small subunit ribosomal RNA", at positions 56 to 1449 of the family's 1831-position model. Lineage: Eukaryota; Metazoa; Arthropoda; Arachnida; Trombidiformes; Eriophyidae. The record is from RNAcentral.
UGUAAAGUUCAAGCUCCGAUUAUGAGGGCGAACCGCGAAUGGCUCAUUAAAUCAGUCAUAAUCUACUUGAUUGUUUAAAGUUUAUAUGGAUAACUGUGGUAAUUCUAGAGCUAAUACAUGCACAAAGGGGGCGACUCUUGAGAGUUAAAAAUGUAAAAGUUUUUAUCUUGGAGAGAGAAGCUCUGCGUUUAUUAGACUAAGACCAAUGGUUAGAGCGCAAGCUCUAAUCCUUAUGAAAUGGUGACUCUGAGUAAAUAAUGGGUGAAAGCCCAUGUUGCUGACCAGGCACACCAAACGAACGCAAGUUCGGCCUGGCAAGUCAAUCGAGUGUCUGCUCUAUCAACUGUGGAUGGUAGGAUAAUUGCCUACCAUGGUAAUGACGGGUAACGGGGAGUUAGGGCUCGACUCCGGAGAACAAGCCUGAGAAACGGCUAGUAGGACUAAGGUCUGCAGCAGGCGCGAAACUUACACAAUGCUAGAUUAACAUUAGCGAUGUAGUGAAGAAAAAUAACGAUAUACUUCCUUUUAAACAAGGUAGUAUAAUUGGAAUGAGGCGAUUUUAAACCAAUUAGCCGAGUAACAAAUGGAGGGCAAGUCUGGUGCCAGCAGCCGCGGUAAUUCCAGCUCCAUUAGCAUACAUUAAAGUUGUUGCGGUUAAAAAGCUCGUAGUUGAAUUUCUAGCGGUUUUUAAUGGUUGAGUUCCAUUAAGGCGUUGGUUGUCUAUUGUUUAAAACUUAAAUGUUUUCAAUCUCCAAUUGCUGGUUCUCAAACUCAUUUCAAAGCCGCUGUUUCGUCACUUAAUCGAGUGCGAAGCAGGUUGGAACAAACUUUAAUAGUUGCAUUUAUGCUAUCUAUUGGUUGUUACAACACGUUUACCUUGAGAAAAUUAGAGUGCUCACAGCAGGCAGUUGGGAUGUAAAAGUCUCUUUAUGCUUGAAUAAUGUUGCAUGGAAUAAUAGAAUACGGCCUCGGUUCUAUUCUGUUGGUCUUAUAGAACAACAAACAAGUUGGUUGAUGUGGCGUUUAAAAGUUUAUAUUAAGUGUGGUUCUAUUGGAAUUUGUAUUCUCAUUGACUUGUUGCCUAGUGGUAAAACAUUAGAGCCUUUCAUGAAAUACUUAAUCUCCAAUUUUACCAUUAAAGCACUUUUUGUUAAACUAGCUCUCACUCCAACUGAGGCAAUGGUUAAAAGAAAUAGUCGCGGCGGCAUCAGUACUGCAUCGUGAGAGGUGAAAUUCUUAGACCGAUGCAAGACUAACUGAAGCGAAAGCGUUUGCCGAGGAUAUUUUCAUUAAUCAAGAACGAAAGUUAGAGGUUCGAAGGCGAUCAGAUACCGCCCUAGUUCUAACCAUAAACGUUGCCAACUAGCAAUUGGGUUGCGAUUCCUUUAAUCGAAGCUUAAAACACUUCGAUCAUUAUGAUCCACCCAGCGGCUCUCGUAGGGAAACCAAAGUGUUUGGGUUCCGGGGGAAGUAUGAUUGCAAAGUUGAAACUUAAAGGAAUUGACGGAAGGGCACCACCAGGAGUGGAGCCUGCGGCUUAAUUUGACUCAACACGGGGAAACUUACUAGAUUAUAACUCUGGAAUGAUUGACAGAUUGAUAGCUCUUUCUUGAUUCAGAGGAUGGUGGUGCAUGGCCGUUCUUGAUUCGUAUUCCGAAACGUCUGCUUAAUUGCGAUAACGAGUGAGACCUCACCCAACUAACUAGUCGUUUUGUGCGCUGUGGAACGCAAAAGUUUGCUUAAGUUUAAGUUGUAUGAUGAAGUGUAAAAACUUUGUUUGCAGCUACCUUUUGUGAAUGUCUCUGCUCGCAAGCGGACUUCUAGAGGGAUAAACGGUGUUUUAGCCGUAAGAAACGAG